CCCCUGCGAGUCCAGACGAAACGACGACGUCUAUAGACCUGCUCUCGCAUUUCUCUUUCUAUUAAUCAAUCGCAAAUUUACACGUACCCGAAAUAUGGCUACCGGUGGCGAUAACGAUAACGAUAACGGCGCGGCUGCCGCCGUUGGGGCACCGAAGAAGAAGCAGCGCGUCGGUAGCAACAGCCUUCUCUCCUCCUCUCUCGCUGUCAAUGAUUCUUUCUCAGAAGGAAACCCGGCCGAAAGUCGUCAUAAACCGCCUGCCAUCCCCCUAUCAUCUUCUCAUUCUAUGUUUCCCGUCUCCUCUUCCUCCACCUCUUGCGGCUUCAACGACCCUGCCACCGGUGACGUCAUCCUCAGCCUUCGUCUUGAUCGUCAAUCUUCUCCAUUUGAUUGCGUGGAGGUGCCAUUCGAAUCCAGCUCUGUUGCUACUCUGGGACAGCCGGUCACGCACAUCUACUUGCAUUCGCGAGUUCUUUGCCGCUCGAAAUAUUUUUCUGCCCUACUUUCCGACCGCUGGCGACAGCGGAAUGAUACGUCAUCGUCAAAUCAGGCUGAAAGUUCUCACAAAAUUAACCGUUUUCACCUUGUUGUUCCAGCUACUACGGAGUCUAUCAGCCACCACUUAACAGUCCUGAAACUGCUUUACUCCGAUGAUUUGUUGUCUUCACUAGAUAGUGUCUCCACCGCGCUUAAUUUGCUUCCCAUCGCGCUUGAGCUUUUGUUUGAGGACUGCAUUAAAGCCUGUGUUAAAUUCCUUGAGGCAGUGCCGUGGUCAGAGGAUGAGGAGAAGAAGAUAUUAGAUUUGAUUCCUUUUCUGAGUGAAGAAGAGUCGAAAGAGCUCCAAGCCAGGAUGUCGCCGUUGAAAAAUGACUCUUCCGAGGAAAUGCUCCACGGGUUGAUACUAGCUGCAAUUCAUAAUCAUUCGAACAUGGCUUUUGCUAAGGCAUUUGUAGCAAAACUGAUGAGAGAUUUUUCUUCAAGGGAGUCAGCAAGGAGGGUUUUGGAUACAGCGUUUGACAAGAUUUUGAGUGUUGUGAAGCAGUCGAUGGAGGAGUACUCGAGUCCGGUUUUUACAGGGGAUCAUAAUGAGACAGAGGCGAUUCAGAGGCUCAAUUUGCAUACAGCGAUGAUUAAUGGGAAGCACUUGUUGUGGUUGAUGGAGAGGAUGAUUGAACUAAGAGUGGCGGAUACAGCUGUGAAAGCGUGGAGUCAGCAGACUUCCUUUACGGGAGAUUUACAGAGGGCAUUGCGUGAUGAUGCAUGGAGAAAUAUUGUUCCAAGCCUUCCCUCUGUAGUGCUUCGUUGCACAUGCAGGCUUGCCAAUGCGGUUGCCGCAGGGAACAUUUUGGCAGAUAGACAGGUUAGGAUGGAUCUUGUGAGAGAUUGGCUGCCCCUGUUGAUUACAUGCAAAGCUAGCGUCUCGCCUAUGGGGCCAAAUCACAAGUCACUUUAUCUGGAGCUGGAAGAAACAUUUUUGAGAAUUAUAUCUACUCUCCCCAUAUCAGAUGCACAAGAGUUAUUGCAGCAAUGCCUUAGCUUUUCGACUCGUAACAUGGAUGACUGCCCUCACUUGGUUGCAGCUUUUACUACUUGGUUUCGCCGUGCAAACAGACCCCAAAAACCAGAUCGCCGUGGGUGAUGGCCAGUGUUUGCUUUUUAAAAUGCAGCACUUGAAUGGAACCUAAAGAUAUGGUUUUGGUUACUAUAAAUUUGCACAUUCAGCUCACAGGGGGGUAAGGCAAGCAGGUACACAUAUUCAGCUUACUGGAGGGUAAGGAAAGCAGGUAGAUGUCUCAUUUCUGGUACUCAAAACUUACUUGAAGGUGUGGAAGGGAUCCAUGGCACCUUCAGCUUUGUACAUACGCUGUUUGUCAUUACCUAGCACAGGCCAUCCCGUCUCAUCUCUGUUGACAAAUUUUCAUGUAUGUUUUCACUGGACCUGUAUCCUUUCUAGCCAAUAGUUGUAACUAUUUGCCAGUGAAUGGCACAACACAAUUCGACAUGCAUCAAAACAGUUGCAUUUCCUCGAUUCAUCAUACUGCACAAGCUACAUCAGAAGGUCUAAGCUCAUUGAUAAGCAACAUGGGUAUACCUUGGAUGUUUAGGUUCAGCCAGGGAGAAUUCAUGUAUGGAUACAAAUACAGUUUUAUUUUCAUACAUUCUUGCAGUAGGUUAAAUGAAACGAACCAGUGAGCUUAUCCAACAGUCUCGACUUGAUCUGCACAAAGGUUAGAUAA
This is an RNA transcript of Sesamum indicum (sesame), 2237 nucleotides long. It is a transcript of the gene named BTB/POZ domain-containing protein At3g05675-like, with no coding region annotated. The record is from RefSeq and is a predicted model, not a curated record. Lineage: Eukaryota; Viridiplantae; Streptophyta; Magnoliopsida; Lamiales; Pedaliaceae.